GUGGGCGUAGCUCAGUUGGUAGAGCACCAGGUUGUGGCCCUGGUGGCCGAGGGUUCAAGCCCCUUCGCUCACCCCA
RNAcentral lists this transfer RNA (76 nucleotides) under Desulfobacula sp. GWF2_41_7. RNAcentral's name for it is "tRNA-His". It matches the Rfam family "tRNA". From Rfam's summary of the family: Transfer RNA (tRNA) molecules are approximately 80 nucleotides in length. Their secondary structure includes four short double-helical elements and three loops (D, anti-codon, and T loops). Lineage: Bacteria; Pseudomonadati; Thermodesulfobacteriota; Desulfobacteria; Desulfobacterales; Desulfobacteraceae. RNAcentral also lists the same sequence under 3 other names. The record is from RNAcentral.